GGGUUGUGUGUGUGUGUGUGUGUGUGUGUGUGUGUAUACACACACACACACACACACACACACACUCACAACCU
This is a non-coding RNA of Podarcis lilfordi (Lilford's wall lizard), 74 nucleotides long. NCBI's taxonomy places the organism in Eukaryota, Metazoa, Chordata, Lepidosauria, Squamata, Lacertidae. The record is from the annotation of a GenBank genome assembly.